UGGACCCCAGGUGAGGCCCCGGGCGUGGCCCAGGUGUGUCCAGGUGUGCCCAGGUGUGCUCAGGUGUUCCCCAGGUGUGCCCAGGUGUGUCCCCAGGUGUGUCCAGGUGUGCUCAGGUGUGUCCAGGUGUGCCCAGGUGUCCCCAGGUGUCCCCAGGUGUCCCCAGGUGUAUCCCAGGUGUGUCCAGGUGUGCCCAGGUGUGCCCAGGUGUGUCCAGGUGUAUCCAGGUGUCCCCAGGUGUCCCCAGGUGUGUCCAGGUGUGUCCAGGUGCACUCAGGUGUGUCCCAGGUGUCCCCAGGUGUGUCCAGGUGUAUCCAGGUGUCCCCAGGUGUCCCCAGGUGUAUCCAGGUGUGUCCCCAGGUGUCCCCAGGUGUGUCCAGGUGUAUCCAGGUGCACUCAGGUGUGUCCUCAGGUGUGCCCAGGUGCACUCAGGUGUGUCCC
This 441-nucleotide long non-coding RNA is filed under the name Parus major (Great Tit). RNAcentral's name for it is "lncRNA (ENSPMJG00000002493.1)". Lineage: Eukaryota; Metazoa; Chordata; Aves; Passeriformes; Paridae. The record is from RNAcentral.